GGUGGGAUGGCCGAGCGGUCUAAGGCGCUAGUUCGAGGUGCUAGUUUUCGCGGGUUCGAAUCCCGUUCCCAUCA
This is a transfer RNA of Cryptosporidium muris RN66, 74 nucleotides long. It matches the Rfam family "tRNA". Rfam says of the family: Transfer RNA (tRNA) molecules are approximately 80 nucleotides in length. Their secondary structure includes four short double-helical elements and three loops (D, anti-codon, and T loops). The record is from Rfam. Lineage: Eukaryota; Apicomplexa; Conoidasida; Eucoccidiorida; Cryptosporidiidae.